RNAcentral lists this ribosomal RNA (506 nucleotides) under uncultured bacterium. RNAcentral's name for it is "partial 16S ribosomal RNA". It matches the Rfam family "Bacterial small subunit ribosomal RNA", at positions 28 to 523 of the family's 1533-position model. The record is from RNAcentral.
GAUGAACGCUGGCGGCGUGCUUAACACAUGCAAGUCGAACGGAGAUAUUAAAAAUGAAGUAAGGAGCUUGCUUCGGACGGAAUGAUUAAUAUCUUAGUGGCGGACGGGUGAGUAACGCGUGGAUAACCUGCCUUAUACUGGGGGAUAACACUUAGAAAUAGGUGCUAAUACUGCAUAAGCGCACAGCUUUGCAUGAAGUUGUGUGAAAAACUCCGGUGGUAUAAGAUGGAUCCGCGUCUGAUUAGCUAGUUGGUGGGGUAACGGCCCACCAAGGCGACGAUUAGUAGCCGGGCUGAGAGGGUGAACGGCCACAUUGGGACUGAGACACGGCCCAAACUCCUACGGGAGGCAGCAGUGGGGAAUAUUGCACAAUGGGGGAAACCCUGAUGCAGCGACGCCGCGUGAGUGAAGAAGUAUUUCGGUACGUAAAGCUCUAUCAGCAAGGAAGAAAAUGACGGUACUUGACUAAGAAGCCCCGGCUAACUACGUGCCAGCCGCCGCGGUAA